This 301-nucleotide ribosomal RNA is filed under the name uncultured bacterium. RNAcentral describes it as "partial 16S ribosomal RNA". It matches the Rfam family "Bacterial small subunit ribosomal RNA", at positions 509 to 809 of the family's 1533-position model. The record is from RNAcentral.
CAGUCGCCGCGGGAAUACGGAGGAUCCAAGCGUUAUCCGGAAUCAUUGGGUUUAAAGGGUCCGUAGGCGGUCUUGUAAGUCAGUGGUGAAAGCCCAUCGCUCAACGGUGGAACGGCCAUUGAUACUGCAGGACUUGAAUUAUUGGGAAGUAACUAGAAUAUGUAGUGUAGCGGUGAAAUGCUUAGAGAUUACAUGGAAUACCAAUUGCGAAGGCAGGUUACUACCAAUUGAUUGACGCUGAUGGACGAAAGCGUGGGUAGCGAACAGGAUUAGAGACCCCAGUAGUCCCUGUCUCUUAUAA